Pelobates cultripes (western spadefoot toad) is the source of this 3179-nucleotide non-coding RNA. Lineage: Eukaryota; Metazoa; Chordata; Amphibia; Anura; Pelobatidae. The record is from the annotation of a GenBank genome assembly.
CUAUAACACAGGUUAUGAUUUUAAAAGCUUAUAUGAAAAUAUUGAACACAUAUAUUAAAUAAAUAAAUAAAUAUGUAGAAAUUUAAUAAUUCCUACUUAAACCUGAAAAGGGCAUAUUUCACUAGCUUCCUAUGAUAAUGCUCAUCUUUAUACACAGUCUCGUAGAAAACCAUAGUUUUAAAUAUGAAGUCACCAUGCUAUGCCGAUCCACAGAUGGAUUAUCUGAAUAAAUAUGUCUGUCACUGUGAUUUGUGCACUUUAAUUCUAAAAGGGGUUGACCCUGUAAAAAUAUUACUGUCAUUAGUAAACUUCGCUUGCAGUUGGGCCUGACCCUUUAAAAAUGUCACUGUGAUUAAACACGCAACUGCCGUGCAUUUAUAAGCCACUAAGAAAAAACGAUCCAUAUGGUAAAUCACUUAAUUAUGUCAUUAAUAUACUCUAGUCAAAGACAAACAGACCACUGAAGAUUUCACUGUGAUUAGCAAGUAUCAGUCCUUCAAUAGACUUUAUCCUUACACAAUGAAAAUACACAUUGGCUCAAGUAUCAAUGGAUGGCCCCGAUUUACUCAAAGCAUUAAUUGACUUAAUAUGGAAUAUCUUUAGGUUCUGUACAUUGAAGUUAUGGUAGUUAAUAGCUGAAUAUCAUUAUAUUAUAUAAGAAGAUCCAUUAUUGUUUUAAAAAGUCCAUUCAUCUUCCAUACAUUUACAUACGAUUUAAGAUUUAUCUAUUUCAUUAAUAUUCCCAUGACAUUAUAUUUCCCUAACAAUAUCCCCUAAUUAAUAAUUGAGAGUAUAAAUGUAGUUCUGAAUUACUGGAGAAGUAAUUAAAGGAAUAUUCUGGGCACUAAAACAAGAUCAAUUGGAAUUAAGUUGUUAUGGUGGGAGGAGGUCCCCAGGUGCAGGCUUACCUCAAGGGGUUAAACUAUUAACGAACAGUUUAACUCCAAAAUGUUGAAUGUACCCGCCCCCCCGGUCAUCCACUACAGUCCGAUGCUUGAAUCAGGAAGCCUCAUACUGGGAGCCAUUGAGAGACACUGAAAGACAGAAGAGUCAGCUGAUGCUCUCAGCCAAUCAGUAGCUCGCCAUUCGUAAAACAGCUUGAGAAAAAUAUGUAAAUUUUUCAAGUCGUUAUGUGAGAGCUACUGAUAGGCUAAAAAUAUCAGCUGACUCUCUCAGCCUAUCGGCAACUGCCAGUGUGAGGCUUAAUAAUUCAAACCUCGGACUGCAUUGGAUGUAGAUGGGCAGCGCAAUCAAGUGCCGGAUUCAAGACACUGGGCUUAAACUGUUUGUCACUUGGUUUAACUCCUUGAGGUAAGCCCGAGCCCAGCUACUCUACUCACACCAUAACAACUUAAUUUUGAUGAAGUUGUUAUGGUGCCCAGAGUGUUCCAUUAACAAUUCUUGAGGAGAGACGGUGCACACUCAGAGCUGUCUGGGGAUAUUUGUGAAUGCCCUCUACACUUCUCUAAUUUUCUAAAAUAUUGGUAGAAAAUAGAAAGAAAAAAAAAGUUUGUAUUUUGCAUGCAGUACCACAUAUGGCCACUGGUGGUAUGAAAGAUACAAUUUCAAUCACUAUAUAUUUUCCUAUGGUCUUAUACACAGCCAAAGUAAUUAGUGCUAGAGAUUUAUAUCUAACGAGUUAAUCAAGUUAUCUAGGGAUUGUCUGUGCAUGUAAAUUAAAAUCAUCUUUGUAGAGGCUGGCAUCGAUUACUUCAAAGCACAAGACAGCCGAAAAAUAUCACUAAUAUGCAUGUACAGUGCAUGGUAAACAGUACACGUUGCAAGAAUAGAGAGGUUAACCAAGUCAUGCCAGCCCCUUCAGGCCAUAUGUGGAACUGCACGAUUAACACAUGGCAGUUCCAAAAAAAGGGCAAGCUUGCCAGUGUUCCCUUUAAUUUUUACAAUAAAAAUAGGAAAUACAAUUGCAGUUCUUUUCUUCUCUACAGCACAAGAAAACUGAUUAUUUACCUGACACGUUUGUAACCGCUAGCAUUUUAAAAUUACUAAACAAGGUGAGUGGGCAACAUUUCGUACCUGCAAUCUUGCCAAGGCACAUGUCUCAAUAUAGCAGCUCAGAAACCGAUAGGACAUACACAAUACAUCAAAGUGUAACAAAUGAUCCAAUAGUCCUAUAUUUAAGGAUAGGUUAGUAGCACACCACCUGUAGACCCACCCAUUGUGCCCUGCUUUCAUUCUUCCUAGCAAAGGAGGCAUGGCUUCAUGUAUUCUUACAGGUUAUUAUCAUGGUUCUAGUAUUAGGAGGCUAUAAUUGCAGUCACUGCAGGCAUUUUCAAAAGUUUCGACAAGUCGAGCAUGAUUUCACCACCCCUCUAAGUUUAGGAGGUCAUAUGUGAGAAUGUGUGCUAGGCUGACAUGCCCCCACUUUCUGCUGGGCCCAUUGUGUCACCAGCUAUCCUUCAGCCCAUCCCAUCAAUGUCUCAACGGGAGGAACUAUUUUUGUAAUUUGAAUAUUUCAGCAUAACUUUUACUAUUCAAGACAUUUACUUUUAUCUCCCAAUUCCCAAUAUUUCAGUGUUUAGUCGUUCAACCGUAUAAUAGUAACUUCUCACAAAAUGUUAUAUUUCUGUUGUUUGUCACAGAAAGGGGAGAGUGUUUUGUUUUGUUUUUUUUUCCUCCAAAGUGUGGUUUAUUUACUAAGGCUUCAAUGUAAUCAGUAUUCCAAAUGAUUUAGAAAACAUUUGAGAUGACUUAUCAACAAAAGUCACAAAAGUCUACUGGAAUUUUUGUGGAUAAAUCAUUUUUAAAGUGUUUCUAACAGUACAGAAUAAUUUGGAAGGCUUAUUAAACUGAGGCCUAAACGGACAUUUUUGAGAACUGAAAUGGGAAUUGCGUUGGCCAAAAUGGUAAAAAUAGGAAACUAAUGUUUCAGUUGGUGAUAUUUUGACUCAAAAAUGUCCAAUUUCCAUAUCAAAUCUCCGGUUUAGUGAGUAGACCACAAUAGUAUCACUAAUUUGUUUUCUUGUUGGCUGAAAUGUGUAAUGGAAUCCUAAAGUUUGUUUUACGAGACAACAUUCACUGUUCCUUGAUACAGCCAAAUACUUGUGAAAUACAAACUUGCAUGAAUCAGUUUGCUUGUCUCUAUUUGUGAAGAAACAAGGAACUGUUGUAUACACAGAAUUGUGAAUAUUUCUAUUUCUUUUAAUUAGAAAAGGUUCAAA